GACGAACGCUGGCGGCGUGCUUAACACAUGCAAGUCGAACGGAAAGGCCCUGCUUUUGUGGGGUGCUCGAGUGGCGAACGGGUGAGUAACACGUGAGUAACCUGCCCUUGACUUUGGGAUAACUUCAGGAAACUGGGGCUAAUACCGGAUAGGAGCUCCUGCUGCAUGGUGGGGGUUGGAAAGUUUCGGCGGUUGGGGAUGGACUCGCGGCUUAUCAGCUUGUUGGUGGGGUAGUGGCUUACCAAGGCUUUGACGGGUUGCCGGCCUGAGAGGGUGACCGGCAACAUUGGGACGGGGAACCGGCCAAGACCCCAACGGGGGGCAGGAGGGGGGAAUAUUGCAAAAGGGGGGGAACCCUGAUGCACCAACGCCGGGGGGGGGAUGAGGGCCUUGGGGUGGUAAACCGCUUCCGCCUGGGACGAAGGGGGGGGGGCGGUAAUGGGUAAAGAAGCACCGGCAAAUUACGU
Molecule: ribosomal RNA, 467 nt
Filed under: uncultured bacterium
Lineage: Bacteria
Description: partial 16S ribosomal RNA
Rfam family: Bacterial small subunit ribosomal RNA
Source: RNAcentral